CUCUCUCAAACCUUUGGGUUUGGUAUUGAGUGAUACUCUUAGUUGAACUAGGCGUUUGCUUGAAAUAUAUUGGCACGAGUAGUGUUGAACAGUGUUGUCUGAACAUCAAUGUAUUAGGUUUAUCCAACUCGUUGAAACGUUUAGGUGGUACCAUUCUUCAUUAGGCUUUGCCUUAUAAAACACAAACAA
RNAcentral lists this unclassified non-coding RNA (189 nucleotides) under Suzukiozyma glaebosa. Its description in RNAcentral is "[Candida] glaebosa partial internal transcribed spacer 2". The record is from RNAcentral. Lineage: Eukaryota; Fungi; Ascomycota; Pichiomycetes; Serinales; Debaryomycetaceae.